This 770-nucleotide long non-coding RNA is filed under the name Sarcophilus harrisii (Tasmanian devil). RNAcentral describes it as "lncRNA (ENSSHAG00000025810.1)". Lineage: Eukaryota; Metazoa; Chordata; Mammalia; Dasyuromorphia; Dasyuridae. The record is from RNAcentral.
CCUGGGGGAGAGGGAAGCUGAGUGAUCAGCGAAGGGGUAAGUGUGCUCGAAGAAGCCCCUUCCCUCUCUUAUGACCUCUCUAGCGUCAGGACACUCAGGAUAGUGUUCAUUUCCUCUGGGUCCAGGUCUCAUUCUCUCCCCAGACCCUCUUCCUACCGGGAACCCGAGAUCUUCUUUCGAGGCUCACCUCCCCCCCACAUCCGGGGGGUGAUUUCCCACUUGACCAAAGCGCCAAGAUUUGAGCAUUUCUACCUUAUUUGCUCAGACCCUGUACAUCAAAACAAUGUCAUUGCUACUGUCAUGAGAAACUUUAGAAUUCAGGACCCUGAAGAAGCUGCCAUUUUUCACCCAUGAAGUCAAUGAAUGUUGGCUGAAAGGGAUCUUAAGAGGCCAUUUAGUCCAAGCUUUGACCUGGUCAGGAAUCCCAGAUGAUCACGGACGUGCAGCUGGCCAUCUUCGCCAACAUGCUGGGCGUGUCGCUCUUCCUGCUCGUGGUUCUCUAUCACUACGUGGCGGUCAAUAACCCUAAGAAGCAGGAGUGAGGCGGCGCGGCCCCCCGCAGAUGGCUCUGCGCUCUGGAGGAAGCGUUUUCGGGCUCAUCUCUCCUGCCUGCUCAGAGCCGAGGAUGCCACAAGCCUGAGCCACGCAAAGGCCCCGAGGGACGCGGAGAAGCCUGCCACCAGGACCAAAAGCCUCGAAGAGGAUGGGAAGCAGCUGCUCCAAGGCUGAGGGGUUUGGGCCCCUAUUAAACAUCCCCCUCCUCUUUUGAA